Molecule: long non-coding RNA, 302 nt
Filed under: Olea europaea (common olive)
Lineage: Eukaryota; Viridiplantae; Streptophyta; Magnoliopsida; Lamiales; Oleaceae
Description: long non-coding RNA (OEUR_LNC011573)
Source: RNAcentral
UGAUUUUCAGUAAAACUAAACGGGCAUCUUAUUCUAUUUGAGGGAAACAUCGAAGGACUAUACAACUUCUGGGAAAAAUCCCUCCACGUCCCCUCCUAACUAGUCAUUCCUAUCUUCUUUCAUUCUAUUUGUCACUCCUCAACCAAGCAUUUUACCACCAUUUUUAGCAUGUUCAGUAAGAUAGGCUAGAUAACACUAGACAAUAUGGUACAAGAAGAAAAAUUAAAAUCUUAAUAAUUGUAUCUAGGCACAUUGAAAAAGCUUGCUUGGCUCAUAGAAAUAAAUGCACUAGCUGGCUUUCA